CCCUUAGAUGUUCUGGGCUGCACGCGCGCUACACUGAUUCUUUCAGCGAGUCCACCACCUUGCCUGGGAGGGUGGGGUAACCUCUGGAAAGAGCAUCGUGAUGGGGAUCGAUUAUUGUAAUUAUUAAUCUUCAACGAGGAAUUCCUAGUAAGCAUGUGUCAUCAGCCCGUGCUGAUUACGUCCCUGCCCUUUGUACACACCGCCCGUCGCUCCUACCGAUUGAAUGUUCCGGUGAGCUCUUCGGACUGCGCGGUCUGCAGUUUCUGCGUUCCGUGCGGAAAGUUGCGCAAACCUUAACAUUUAGAGGAAGGAGAAGUCGUAACA
RNAcentral lists this ribosomal RNA (324 nucleotides) under uncultured eukaryote. RNAcentral's name for it is "partial 18S ribosomal RNA". It matches the Rfam family "Eukaryotic small subunit ribosomal RNA", at positions 1470 to 1796 of the family's 1831-position model. The record is from RNAcentral.